GUGGUGGUAGCCCUUUGAUAGGAGCUGUUGAAGCAUCUAUCCCAAUCUCAGAGGUGGCUCAGGCAGUCACACCAUUUGCUCUACACCUUCCACCACACAGCUGCCCCCUUGGUACUUGAAGGCUCUGGUGGAAGCAGCUGGAAGGCUUGUCCUGAAUGGUAAGGACAGUACCUGCCUUGGCUUCUGCAGAAAGUGGUGCCCCCCCUUCCGAGCAGAGCUGCCUUGGUUUUGAAGCUUUAGCUCUGGGGUCCUUCCGAGGGUUUCACACCCCUGCGCGAGAGCAUGUUUUAAAACGGAAAGAAACUGAGCUGGGGGAGGAGGGAGGAGUCGGAAAUAACCGAAAGGGGAGAGUGAGAUCUAAGUGAGAUCUAAAAACACGCCACCACUGAUGGAGCCAAGCCAGGGAGGAUGCCGAAUUCAGCACGCGCUGCCUGCUCUGGGUUUUCCUAGGUUGGGAGGGGCUGCUCCUGGGGCGGGAUACGUAGGGCAGUGUGGUUCAUUUCGUUCCUCUCUCUUGCUCUCCUCCUAAUUGGGGGUCCACAGUCCACAGUCUGAACAAGCUGACCUAACCAAGGCCGCUGCUGCCCACCCACCCGGCCCCAGGUCACCUGUCCCACCCGUGACUGCAAGUGGUGUUUUCCCACGACUGGGAGAAGUUAAGUCUGCCAUGAAGAUGGUAGGGAAACAGAACACAAAAUGGAGGAAGCAAAAUCAGACUGUUCUAAACAGAGCCAGACAGUGUGAGGGGCUGAACGGAGAGCAGGUCUUUACCGAUUAUGGGAGCAGGUGUAGGCAGAUGCAUGCGUGGGGUGAACCCAGAUGCCCAACCCAGGGUGGAGACCCAGAAGAUUCAGCCGUAGGAGGACACCCUACCAGUCCCUGGGCUUUGCCUGUUGUCUCCUAUCCCAGUGAACCAAGGAGAAAGUCAGAGCCUUGGAAAACUCACAGGUACUGGCAAAAUUUCAUGUCAAUUCCACUUUCUGUGACACGAGGCACAAGCCUUUCCCAAUCCAGGGAAACCUUAAUCUUUCUUUAGAAGAGCACAAAGGCAGUGAAGGAGAAGCAUCAGGAAAAUGGAACAGAAGAGUAGUGACAGGGGUUUGCCUGUAGCAAAGGUGUAUUCAGUGGGUUCUGAGGUCUUCCCUGUGCCAAUCUCUCAUCUGAAGCAUAAGAGAACACGCGUAAAUGAGCAUUUUCUGUCUCUGCUGGCACUGUGUAACACGUUCUGUUUUCCCAUGACGUCAGUGGGGAAGGGAACCGUCUACAGAACCUCCUUUGUGCCAGGAACAGGGUAUAGACUGUAGACAUCACUGCACAUACACCGUAAGAUACCGUGGUAAUUCGAAUGGCGUGCGCCAGGCCACAUGCUGAGUGCUUUAUGUGCAUUAUUUCAUUUAAUCCUCCCACAUGGAGGGAGCCGCCCAGCACAGACAAGAGCACAGGCUCUGGAGUCAGACUGCUUGGGAUUCAUUCUGGGCACCAGCACUUACUGGCUGGGCAGCCUUAGGCAAAUGACUUAACUUGUCUGUGUUUCAGUUUCCUCCCCUAUAAAUGAAGAUACUAAUAGUUCCUCUCUCGUGGGGUUGUUGUGACGAUUAAAUGACUUCGUACAUGCAACAUGCUUGAAACAAUACACAGCCCACAGAA
This 1647-nucleotide long non-coding RNA is filed under the name Equus asinus (donkey). Its description in RNAcentral is "lncRNA (ENSEASG00005033247.1)". Lineage: Eukaryota; Metazoa; Chordata; Mammalia; Perissodactyla; Equidae. The record is from RNAcentral.